This 379-nucleotide non-coding RNA is filed under the name Pongo abelii (Sumatran orangutan). The record is from RNAcentral. Lineage: Eukaryota; Metazoa; Chordata; Mammalia; Primates; Hominidae.
AGGCGCUGUCCUAGGUACUGUGGGGACCAAAACAUUCAGACCUGCUUCCGUGGAAGAGUCAGAAUAACAAAUCAACAUUUGUACUACACCAGACCAGCUCUCUUCUAAGGUUGCUAUGACUUCCCAGCAGGCAUUCUAAUAUACGCAUUCUUCAUGACAACUAUGUGAAACAUAUUAAUAUCCUCAUUGUUAAAGAUGAAGAAACUAAAUCUCAGGAAGAAAAACUAAGUGAAGACAAAAGAAGUAUUUGAACUGAGGUUUGUCAGACUCUCGGGACCAAGCUGUUGAAACCACUAAACCACACUGCCUCUGGGUCACUUGAUAAACAGUGUUCAACCAUUAAGAUAGUCAUUAAUAAAGUUCCUUGUGCUCUCCUUGA